UCUGGCCGAGCGGUCUAAGGCGCCUGAUUCAAGAAAAGAUCUUGACCACAGUUAACUGUGGGAAUACUCAGGUAUCGUAAGAUGCAAGAGUUCGAAUCUCUUAGCA
This 106-nucleotide transfer RNA is filed under the name Saccharomyces cerevisiae (brewer's yeast). The record is from RNAcentral. Lineage: Eukaryota; Fungi; Ascomycota; Saccharomycetes; Saccharomycetales; Saccharomycetaceae.